UAUGGACUAGAUAAAUUUAUGUACUA
Molecule: non-coding RNA, 26 nt
Filed under: Cricetulus griseus (Chinese hamster)
Lineage: Eukaryota; Metazoa; Chordata; Mammalia; Rodentia; Cricetidae
Source: RNAcentral